RNAcentral lists this ribosomal RNA (253 nucleotides) under uncultured bacterium. Its description in RNAcentral is "partial 16S ribosomal RNA". It matches the Rfam family "Bacterial small subunit ribosomal RNA", at positions 524 to 776 of the family's 1533-position model. The record is from RNAcentral.
UACGUAGGGUGCAAGCGUUAAUCGGAAUUACUGGGCGUAAAGCGUGCGCAGGCGGUUGGGCAAGACAGAGGGGAAAUCCCCGGGCUUAACCUGGGAAUGGCCUUUGUGACUGCACGGCUAGAGUGUGUCAGAGGGGGGUAGAAUUCCACGUGUAGCAGUGAAAUGCGUAGAGAUGUGGAGGAAUACCGAUGGCGAAGGCAGCCCCCUGGGAUAACACUGACGCUCAGGCACGAAAGCGUGGGGAGCAAACAGG